UGAGGGAAUAUUGGGUCAAUGGGCGAGAGCCUGAACCAGCCAAGUCGCGUGAAGGAAUACGGCCCUAUGGGUCUUAAACUUCUUUUGUAUAGGGGUAAAGGUAUGUACGUGUACAUAUUUGCAAGUACUAUACGAAUAAGGAUCGGCUAACUCCGUGCCAGCAGCCGCGGUAAUACGGAGGAUCCGAGCGUUAUCCGGAUUUAUUGGGUUUAAAGGGUGCGCAGGCGGACUCGUCAAGUCAGCGGUAAAAAUUCGGGGCUCAACCCCGUCCUGCCGUUGAAACUGCGAGACUGGAGUGCGACAGAGGAAGGCGGAAUGCGAGGUGUAGCGGUGAAAUGCAUAGAUAUCGCGCAGAACUCCGAUUGCGAAGGCAGCCUUCCAUGUCGUGACUGACGCUGAGGCACGAAAGCGUGGGGAUCGAACAGGAUUAGAUACCCUGGUAGU
This 444-nucleotide ribosomal RNA is filed under the name uncultured Porphyromonadaceae bacterium. Its description in RNAcentral is "bacterial SSU rRNA". It matches the Rfam family "Bacterial small subunit ribosomal RNA", at positions 354 to 794 of the family's 1533-position model. Lineage: Bacteria; Pseudomonadati; Bacteroidota; Bacteroidia; Bacteroidales; Porphyromonadaceae. The record is from RNAcentral.